Molecule: ribosomal RNA, 864 nt
Filed under: uncultured archaeon
Lineage: Archaea
Description: SSU rRNA
Rfam family: Archaeal small subunit ribosomal RNA
Source: RNAcentral
AACCAGCACCUCAAGUGGUCAGGAUGAUUAUUGGGCCUAAAGCAUCCGUAGCCGGCUCUGUAAGUUUUCGGUUAAAUCUGUACGCUUAACGUACAGGCUGCCGGGAAUACUGCAGAGCUAGGUAGUGGGAGAGGUAGACGGUACUCGGUAGGAAGGGGUAAAAUCCUUUGAUCUAUUGAUGACCACCUGUGGCGAAGGCGGUCUACCAGAACACGUACGACGGUGAGGGAUGAAAGCUGGGGGAGCAAACCGGAUUAGAUACCCGGGUAGUCCCAGCUGUAAACUAUGCAAACUCAGUGAUGCAUUGGCUUGUGGCCAAUGCAGUGCUGCAGGGAAGCCGUUAAGUUUGCCGCCUGGGAAGUACGUACGCAAGUAUGAAACUUAAAGGAAUUGGCGGGGGAGCACCACAAGGGGUGAAGCCUGCGGUUCAAUUGGAGUCAACGCCAGAAAUCUUACCCGGAGAGACAGCAGAAUGAAGGCCAAGCUGAAGACUUUACCAGACAAGCUGAGAGGUGGUGCAUGGCCGUCGCCAGCUCGUGCCGUGAGAUGUCCUGUUAAGUCAGGUAACGAGCGAGAUCCCUGCCUCUAGUUGCCACCAUUACUCUCAGGAGUAGUGGGGCGAAUUAGCGGGACCGCCGCAGUUAAUGCGGAGGAAGGAAGGGGCCACGGCAGGUCAGUAUGCCCCGAAACUCUGGGGCCACACGCGGGCUGCAAUGGUAACGACAAUGGGUUUCGAAUUCGAAAGGAUGAGGUAAUCCUCAAACGUUACCACAGUUAUGACUGAGGGCUGCAACUCGCCCUCACGAAUAUGGAAUCCCUAGUAACUGCGUGUCACUAUCGCGCGGUGAAUACGUCCCUGCUCCU